This 267-nucleotide ribosomal RNA is filed under the name Mesorhizobium sp. Its description in RNAcentral is "partial 16S ribosomal RNA". It matches the Rfam family "Bacterial small subunit ribosomal RNA", at positions 89 to 359 of the family's 1533-position model. The record is from RNAcentral. Lineage: Bacteria; Pseudomonadati; Pseudomonadota; Alphaproteobacteria; Hyphomicrobiales; Phyllobacteriaceae.
GACCUAGCGGCGGACGGGUGAGUAAUGCGUAGGAAGCUGCCCGAUAGAGGGGGAUACCAGUUGGAAACGACUGUUAAUACCGCAUAAUGUCUACGGACCAAAGUGUGGGACCUUCGGGCCACAUGCUAUCGGAUGCGCCUACGUGGGAUUAGCUAGUUGGUGAGGUAAUGGCUCACCAAGGCGACGAUCUCUAGCUGGUUUGAGAGGAUGAUCAGCCACACUGGAACUGAGACACGGUCCAGACUCCUACGGGAGGCAGCAGUGGGG